This 227-nucleotide long non-coding RNA is filed under the name Mytilus galloprovincialis (Mediterranean mussel). The record is from RNAcentral. Lineage: Eukaryota; Metazoa; Mollusca; Bivalvia; Mytilida; Mytilidae.
CUGCGGGAGUUUCUCUCUACAUUGAAGACCCAUUGGUGGCCUUCGGCUGUUGUCUGCUCUAUGGUCGGGUUGUUGUCGCUUUGACACAUUCCCCAUUUCCUUUCUCAAUUUUACAUAUACAACUUUUUUUAAUUCAUACAUACCCUUGCUUAAAAUAAAAAAUACAUAUAUGAAUAUUUGCCUAUCAACACAUGAAACAUGAUAAAUAUCUAUAUAGAUUCAGAAAA